AUUGAACGCUGGCGGCAGGCCUAACACAUGCAAGUCGAACGAGUGGCGGACGCGUGAGUAAUGUCUGGGCAACUGCCUGCUGGAGGGGGAUAACUAAUGGCAACGGUAGCUAAUACCGAAUAACAUAAGAUGUGCCCAGAUGGAAUUAGCUUGUUGGUGGGGUCACGGCUCACCAAGGCGACGAUCCCUAGCUGGCUUGAGAGGAGGACCAGCCAACCGGGACUUGAGACACGGUCCAGACUCCUACGGGAGGAAGAAGUGGGGAACAUUGCACAAUGGGCGCAAGCCUGAUGCAGCCAUGCCGCUUGUAUGAAGAAUGCCUUGGGGUUGUAAAGUACGUUCAGCGGGGAGGCGUUACCCGCAGAAGAAGCACCGGCUAACUCCGUGCCAGCAGCCGCGGUAAUAC
This 406-nucleotide ribosomal RNA is filed under the name uncultured bacterium. RNAcentral's name for it is "partial 16S ribosomal RNA". It matches the Rfam family "Bacterial small subunit ribosomal RNA", at positions 30 to 526 of the family's 1533-position model. The record is from RNAcentral.